Molecule: ribosomal RNA, 77 nt
Filed under: Enterobacter cloacae
Lineage: Bacteria; Pseudomonadati; Pseudomonadota; Gammaproteobacteria; Enterobacterales; Enterobacteriaceae
Also listed under: 13 other names
Description: partial 23S ribosomal RNA
Source: RNAcentral
GGGUUGUGAGGUUAAGCGACUAAGCGUACACGGUGGAUGCCCUGGCAGUCAGAGGCGAUGAAGGACGUGCUAAUCUG